Molecule: ribosomal RNA, 433 nt
Filed under: uncultured bacterium
Lineage: Bacteria
Description: partial 16S ribosomal RNA
Rfam family: Bacterial small subunit ribosomal RNA
Source: RNAcentral
AACGAACGCUGGCGGCAGGCCUAACACAUGCAAGUCGAGCGAGGACUUCGGUCCUAGCGGCGGACGGGUGGGUAACGCGUGGGAACGUGCCCUUUGCUUCGGAAUAGCCCUGGGAAACUGGGAGUAAUACCGGAUGAGCCCUUUGGGGGAAAGAUUUAUCGGCGAAGGAUCGGCCCGCGUUGGAUUAGGUAGUUGGUGGGGUAAUGGCCUACCAAGCCGGCGAUCCAUAGCUGGUUUGAGAGGAUGAUCAGCCACACUGGGACUGAGACACGGCCCAGACUCCUACGGGAGGCAGCAGUGGGGAAUCUUAGACAAUGGGGGAAGCCCUGAUCUAGCCAUGCCGCGUGAGCGAUGAAGGCCUUAGGGUUGUAAAGCUCUUUCAGCUGGGAAGAUAAUGACGGUACCAGCAGAAGAAGCCCCGGCUAACUCCGUG